Molecule: ribosomal RNA, 371 nt
Filed under: Meloidogyne hapla
Lineage: Eukaryota; Metazoa; Nematoda; Chromadorea; Rhabditida; Meloidogynidae
Description: partial 16S ribosomal RNA
Source: RNAcentral
UUUUAUUUUGAUAUUAUUUUUUAUUGUUGAAAAAAUUAAUAAUAAUUUAUUGUUAAUAAAAAUUAAAAUUUAUAAUAUUUUUAUUUUUAUUUUUUAGUUUUAAAUAAAAAAAAUAAAAUUUAUAUAUAUAAAAAUUUUGUUAUAAAUUAUAAUAGUUUAUUUAUUUGUUUUUUAUAAUAAAUAAUAGUAUUUUUUUUAUUAUUUUAUAAAAAAAAAUAAUUUAAUUAUAAUUAUUAAAAGUAAUUUUGUUAUUUAGAAUAAUAUAUUAAUAUAAAUAACAAAAAUAUUAAAUAUUUUUUAAAUUUUUUGGGGAUUUAAGUUAUAAUUUUUUGUGUCUGCUCAAUGAAUUUAAAUAGCACUUUUAGCGUGUG